ACGCUCGACACCUACUGGAGGCAGCAGUUGGGAAUAUUGGACAAUGGAGGAAACUCUGAUCCAGUGACGCCGCGUGAAGGAAGGAGGUCUUCGGAUUGUAAACUUAUUUUGUCAGGGAAGAAAAAUGACUGUACCUGAAGAAAAAGCACCGGCUAACUACGUGCCAACAGCCGCGGUAAUCUGAGCGGGCUGGCAAGGC
This 199-nucleotide ribosomal RNA is filed under the name uncultured bacterium. RNAcentral's name for it is "partial 16S ribosomal RNA". It matches the Rfam family "Bacterial small subunit ribosomal RNA", at positions 328 to 539 of the family's 1533-position model. The record is from RNAcentral.